This 496-nucleotide ribosomal RNA is filed under the name uncultured bacterium. RNAcentral's name for it is "partial 16S ribosomal RNA". It matches the Rfam family "Bacterial small subunit ribosomal RNA", at positions 28 to 507 of the family's 1533-position model. The record is from RNAcentral.
GAUGAACGCUGGCGGCGUGCCUAUCCAUGCAAGUCGAGCGAACAGACGAGGAGCUUGCUCCUCUGACGUUAGCGGCGGACGGGUGAGUAACACGUGGAUAACCUACCUAUAAGACUGGGAUAACUUCGGGAAACCGGAGCUAAUACCGGAUAAUAUAUUGAACCGCAUGGUUCAAUAGUGAAAGACGGUUUUGCUGUCACUUAUAGAUGGAUCCGCGCCGCAUUAGCUAGUUGGUAAGGUAACGGCUUACCAAGGCAACGAUGCGUAGCCGACCUGAGAGGGUGAUCGGCCACACUGGAACUGAGACACGGUCCAGACUCCUACGGGAGGCAGCAGUAGGGAAUCUUCCGCAAAGGGCGAAAGCCUGACGGAGCAACGCCGCGUGAGUGAUGAAUGUCUUCGGAUCGUAAAACUCUGUUAUUAGGGAAGAACAAAUGUGUAAGUAACUAUGCACGUCUUGACGGUACCUAAUCAGAAAGCCACGGCUAACUACGUG